GGAGAGAUGGCUCAGUGGUUAAGAGCACUGACUGCUCUUCCAGAUGUCCUGAGUUCAAUUCCCAGUCACCACA
Molecule: transfer RNA, 73 nt
Filed under: Mus musculus (house mouse)
Lineage: Eukaryota; Metazoa; Chordata; Mammalia; Rodentia; Muridae
Also listed under: 1 other name
Rfam family: tRNA
About the family: Transfer RNA (tRNA) molecules are approximately 80 nucleotides in length.
Source: Rfam by way of RNAcentral